Vicugna pacos (alpaca) is the source of this 147-nucleotide non-coding RNA. The record is from RefSeq and is a predicted model, not a curated record. NCBI's taxonomy places the organism in Eukaryota, Metazoa, Chordata, Mammalia, Artiodactyla, Camelidae.
AAACUUGGAUUGGAAGAAUCAAUAUUGUUAGAAGGGUCUUACUGCCCAAGACAAUCUAUAGAUUUAGUGCAAUCCCUAUCAAAUUACCCAGGACAUAUUUCACAGAACUAGAACAAAUCAUAGUAAAAUUUAUAUGGAACCACAAAA